CAACAACGGAUCUCUUGGUUCUGGCAUCGAUGAAGAACGCAGCGAAAUGCGAUAAGUAAUGUGAAUUGCAGAAUUCAGUGAAUCAUCGAAUCUUUGAACGCACAUUGCGCCCGCCAGUAUUCUGGCGGGCAUGCCUGUCCG
This 141-nucleotide ribosomal RNA is filed under the name Trichoderma asperellum. RNAcentral describes it as "5.8S ribosomal RNA". It matches the Rfam family "5.8S ribosomal RNA". From Rfam's summary of the family: 5.8S ribosomal RNA (5.8S rRNA) is a component of the large subunit of the eukaryotic ribosome. It is transcribed by RNA polymerase I as part of the 45S precursor that also contains 18S and 28S rRNA. Lineage: Eukaryota; Fungi; Ascomycota; Sordariomycetes; Hypocreales; Hypocreaceae. The record is from RNAcentral.